This 5753-nucleotide long non-coding RNA is filed under the name Sus scrofa (pig). RNAcentral's name for it is "lncRNA (ENSSSCG00000054162.1)". Lineage: Eukaryota; Metazoa; Chordata; Mammalia; Artiodactyla; Suidae. The record is from RNAcentral.
CCAUGCUUAAAAUUCUUCAACGGCUCUUUGGAGCCUACGUAAAGUACAAACGUCUUUUUGUCACGGCAUACAGGUCCCUUCACUAUCAGGCCCCUGCCUAUCUCAUCAACCUCAUUUCUCACUACUUCGCCUCUUGAACUUGAAACUGCAACCAUGUGAAAUGAUAAAGCUUGGAAUUUCCUAAACAGGUGGUGCGAUUUCACAUUCACCUCCUUUCUCCUUCCACUACAUAUACUGCUGUUACAGUAUUUAGAAUCCCGAAUUAUUUUGUGUAUGCCUGUUUUACCUACUUUAGACUGGGCAGUCCUACGUGUGGAACCUACAAGGGCAUCUAGCACAUGACAAGCACUCAAAAACAGCUGCACAAGAUUCUCCUUUCAAGCAGGAUACAGUAGGGAAUGGCAGCCAAUACUGAUGACAACUGGAGAAAUCCAGAUAAAUUAUAAAUAUCUUCUUAAAGCACCAAAUAGUUGUAGAAGCAACAAGGACCAGACAAACUAACACUUAAGUAAAGGAUGAGGGGUCACAGCAAGUCACCAAUUCACAGCUGUUUUUGUAUUUUUCCUUUGGUGUAUUUGCUGAUCUUGGACAUGGCUCAGGAUUACAGCUGAAGGCUGUCACUGAGGAAAAAGGAACCAAAAUGCUUUUAAUGUGGUCAUAUAGGACUGGAGUCCUAGAUGCAAAACCAAAGUCUUCAGGGAUCUCAAAAUAUAGGAUUUCUGAGAUAAGGCUGCUGCUGGGAGACAAAUGGCUGAGAAAUGUCCAAACAAAUGAAAUACAUCAACCCACUAACUCAACCUCAAGUUGACAAUACAAAGAGAAACACACACAGACACACCAUAGUCGAACGGCUGAACACCCCAAAAUAAAGAGAAAAAUCAAAAGCAAUGCAGCAACAGAAUUGACAGACAACUUCUCUAAAGAAAUGAUGAAAUCCAGGCAACAAUAAAAUGACAUCUUUAGAGGACUGAAAGAAAUAACUGCCAACCUUGAAUUUUACACCCUACAAAAACAUCUUUCAAAACUGAAGGUAAGAAGUUCCUGUCAUGGCUCAGUGGAAACGGCAUCCGAGAGGACGCAGUUGUGGCUGUGGGCUGUGGCACAGGCCAGCAGCUCUAGUUCCGAUUUGACCCCUAACCUGGGAGCCUCCACAUGCCAUGGUUCGGCCCUAAAAAGACAAAGACAAAACAAAACAAAACAAAACAAAACAAACAAACUGAAAUUAAAUGUAUUAGGAGUCUAGUGGUAUCAAGAAAUGGGAAAAAAAAUCUGUGUUAGACUCUAAUAUGUCAAGAAUCAUGUUGAAAUCUAUACGGUAAACUCCAAAAGAACUGUUUGAAAAAAAAUCUACUUGACAAGUUAAGAGAGUAGUAAAAAUGGGAUAAUAACUAUUUUUGAUUAAUCCAAAAGAAGAUGAAAAAUGAGAAAAAAAGAAGCAAAACCAGUGGGUCAAACAUAAAGCAAAUAUUUUAUUUUAUUUAUUUUUAUUUUUUUUUGUCUUUUUGCCAUUUCUUGGGCUGCUCCCGCGGCAUAUGCAGGUUCCCAGGCUAGGGGUCUAAUUGGAGCUGUAGCUGCCAGCCUAUGCCAGAGCCACAGCAGCGUGGGAUCCAAGCCGUGUCUGCGACCUACACCACAGCUCAUGGCAACGCCGGAUCCUUAACCCACCGAGCAAGGGCAGGGAUCGAACUCACAACCUCAUGGUUUCUAGUCGGAUUUGUUAACCACUGCGCCAAGACGGGAACUCCAAAGCAAAUAUUUUAGAAGAUGGUAGACAGAAGCCCAACCAAAACACUGAUGACAUUAAUUCAGAGUUUUCAGCACCGGCACUAAUGACAUUUAGGGCUGGAUAAUGACUGGUUCGUGGAGGGCUGUCCUGUGCACUCUAAGAUCUUUAGCAGUAUCUCUGGCCCCUGUCCCCAACAUGCCAGUACCACUCCCCCAAGACUGGCAACCAAAAACGUCUAGAGAUAUUUCCAGAUGUCCUGUGGAAGGCAAAAAAUGCCCUGGAUGAAAACUACUGCUACAGAAUGAUUCUAAAAUUGACAUGGGAGGAAUUCCUGUCGUGGCUCAGUGGUUAACGAAUCCGACUAGGAACCACUGGUUGCAGAUUUGAUCCCUGGCCUUGCUCAGUGGGUUAAGGAUCUGGCGCUACAGCUCUGAUUCCAUCCCUAGCCUGGGUACCUCCAUAUGCCUUGGGUGUGGCCCUAGAAAAAGACAAAAAAAAAAAAAAAUUGCUAUGGGAAUACAAACCACUUCAAAAGAGCAAAGAUCAUCUUGAAGAAGAGGAAUUAAAUUGGUAAAUUGUAGUAGUAGAAGUGAUUUCAAAAUGUACCAUCAUAUUAAAAUAAUUAAAGGCAGUGUGUUAUUGGCAAAAAGAAAGACAAAAGGAAGAGAAUAGAGUCCAGAAACAGUUCCACAUACACAACAGAGAUUCCAUAUGUAGGCUCAUAUACCUGACAAAAGUGACACCAAAAUGAACUGGAGGAAAAGCAUGGUCUGUUCUAUUUUUAUGGCUGCAGCCAUGAAAUAUGGAAGUUCCUGGGGCAGGGACUGAAUCCAAGGCACAGUUGUGACUACGCCGCAGAUCCUUAACCCACUGUGUUGGGCCAGGGAUUGAACCUGCUCCUCUGCAGCAACCUGAGCUGCUAAAGUUGGAUUCUUAACCCACUGCACCACAGUGGGAACUCCAAGAAUGGUCUUUUCAAUUACUAUGCCACUUGGCUACCUACCUGAAAAAAAUACAUAGGUCUUGAUUAUAUCACAUACUAGAUUUAAAUGUGAAACGUCAAACAAUAACACUUUCUGAAAAAAACAAAGAACAUCUUGGUAAUCUUGGAGUAGGCAAAGAUUUCUUAAACAGGACACAGAAAAGAGCUAACCAUAAAAAAAAAAAAGAUAAAUUGGACUACACUGAAAAUUAAGAACUUCUGUUCAUCAAAAGACACCAUUAAGAGUGGAGACAACCAAGAUCUUCUACACAUCAUUAGGAAAAAGACAAUCCAACAGAAACAUGAACAAGAACUUGAACAAGCAUACCACGAUAAUAAACACAUGCAAAGACAUUAGCACCAUUAGUCAGUAAAAUGCAAUUUAAAACCGUAAUAAAAUACCACCACAUACCCACCAGAAGGGCUAAGCCGAAAAAAAGGAAAAAAAAAGGAAAAAAAUACUAGGCAUUGGCAAGGGUAUAAAGCAAUUAGGACUCUCGUUCAGUGCUGGUAAGAGUGUAAUUGGUACAACUACUUUGGAAAGUACUUCUGCAAUAUCUACUAAGGACAUACGCUCUAUGACCUAUAACUCCGUUCUUUGAUAUAUACCCAACAGAAACGCAUAAAUAAAUUUACCAAAGAAUGUGUUCUGGAGUACACUAUCCAUAGUGCCCCCGCAGAGAAACUCCCCAAACACGCAUCUGUGGUAGAACGGAUAAACUGCAGCAGUUUCCCAAAGGGACACUCUACAGAUGAAGACUCACCACAAUUGGAGAUUUUCAAAAGAAUGGGUUAGGGGUUCAGAAAUAUAUAAACCAGCUCUCUGUAAGGAAGACAGUACAACAAAUUGCUACUCUGGCAUGACUAUAAAAGGCAAUCAUAUAUCGUUAUGGGAUGGCCAUGAAAUCACGCCUGGGUGACAAUACGUCAAUUAUAGAAGGAAUUGUUUAGAGAUUUAGAAGCUUAGGAGUCCCAGAUUCUACUCUUAUAAAAUGCAACCCUAAUUAUUUAAACUGGCACUGCAGAGUUUGAUGUUUAUAUAACUGACAGCAACAGGGCCAUUCCAGCCCAGAAAGUGAUACCAACAGGAGGCAUUCAGAACAAGUUGAUUCUCUAGGUGAACAGAGAAAACAACCCAGGUUUAGCUGUGGCAGGCGGUGACUGAAUAAACCAGUUCUUGACUCUAAACCUUUCCUGGUUCAGCGUCCCCCUAUGGUGGUCACAGAAAGCAGUCACUGGGGAGGUGGCAGACGACAUCUGCAAUUGGAGGGCUUUAAGUGAACCCAUUCCCCUGGCACCCUCUUCACUUCCUCCCCUUCUCUUUCUGCCUUGUCACAGGGAUGUGUAAGAUCCCAGGGCCAUGGCACACAGGUGGUGAAGACAUGGGACAUUCUGUAUAAGACGAGGUUCUGUACUUUAAGACACUUAAAAGAUAAGAUGGUAGACACAAGGUACAAUCAACAAGUGGAAAAGGGAGGGAAAAAACCCAGAGAAGGAGGACAGGAAUUUAGAAAACGCAUGAAGACCAACAGGGAAGUGUUCAUGGAGGGAGGAGGCUUUGUGUUGAGGAGGGGGGACUGCAUACUUGGGGUUGCGUGGGAAGACUGUUCAAGGUACAAUGCCUGUCUCAAGCAAAGGUCGGAAGGCAGAAAAGUCAUAGCACCUAAUCUAGAUGGAGAUGAGAGGGAGAUGCCAUCACGGCAAAUGAGCCAGGCCUCACACAGAGGUGACGUUCUGAUGAGGCUGCCUAUUUGGGGCCUUAGUACUUGUUACAUCAUCAAGGCUCUCACCUUUCAGGGGUUUACUCCCAGGUGAAUUCUGAGUGAGGCUUCCCUGAUUAGCCCUCUUUAAAAUUGCAACCCAUCCUCACUCCUUGCCCAGCCUUUAAAAUUGUCCUCCAUGGCACUGACAACCACCUGUCAAACCAGGUUAUCCACCUCUUUGUUUACUGUCUCUGUCCUUUCACAAGAAUAUAGGCUCUAUGAGGCCCAGUGAUGUUUGACAAGUUUCUUCAUUGCUUCUGGCAAAGAGCAGGUAUUCAAUAGACACUUAUUGAAUCGACAGUCAGAGACCAAGGUCUGGUUCUCUUAUUUGGGGGAGCUUUGAUAUUGGCUACGUCUAUUUGGGGGAGCUUUGGCAUCGGCUACAUCUGAACUGGAUUCUGGGUAAAAACCACUAUACUUGUCUCCUCUUGGAGAUGAAUUAUUCCUUUAGGUAGUUGAUCUCAUCCUUCAUGGAAGGAUCUUGCUCAAUUCCUUCUCGGGUGACAACUGCAGUUCUAGAUUUUGGCUGUAUGCCAGCCUAUUUUUAGACUAUUGCCAGGAUAGGGACAGAAGGAGUAUGAAAACAGGAAUCUGACAGUCUGGCCUCUAGUCCUGGCUUUUACAGUAUCUGGCUGUGUAGUUUCCAUGUAUUUCAGUUUCUUGAACAUAAAAUAAACUUGGUGGGUAAGAUGACCUCUAAAACUUCUAACUUUGAAUAACUGGCAUAUAGCAGGAAGACUGGGUUUAGAUUCCAGAGACAGGAGUUUAGGUAUAAGAAUUACCAACCCAAGUUUUUUUAAAUUUUAUUUUCCCUUUUUUUUAAAACAAUCGCACCUGUGGCACACGGAAAUUCCUGGGCUAAGGGUUGAAUUGGAGCUGCAACUGAGGCCUACAUCACAGCCACAGCAAUACCAGAUGUGAACUGCAUCUAUGACCUAAGCUGCAGCUUGCGCCAAUGCCAGAUCAUUAACCCACUGAGUGAGGCCAGGGAUCGAACGUGCAUCCUCACAGAGACAAUGUUGGGUUCUUAACCUGCUGAGCCACAAUAGCAACCCUGCCAACACAAGUUCUUGAAUAGAAGGAAGAGAGCUAAUACUUGUUGAAAGAAACCUACUAUACACUGCAUAAUGAGCUAGAUAUUUUAUGUGCAUAAGUUCCUCAUCCACAAGCUGAGUACACAAGGAUCAGGGAGAUUAAGUGAUGCCCAAGGUCAUAUAGCAAGCAAUGGCAGACCUGGGGUCAGACCUGGGACUCACCUCGGCCUGUGUGACUCCAAAGACUG